AGCCUUCGCCCAGCACUUGGUGGACGUGGAAGCAGACACCCACAGUGUUAAGAACUGGAGAGCUAUCCCAAGAACACAUUGCCUUGGUCUUCUGGACAAAGAAUUAACAGAUUACACUGGGAAGUCAUCCUUUUCUUCUCUCUCCAGGGCAAGAAAAUGUGAGAGAAUUGACAUUUGUAUCUACAGAAUAUUCAAGCUGGUCUAGAAACCUGAAAGACAAAGCUCUACAUUCUAAGAAGUCAGUGUUAGAAGGAUGCCACCUUGAUAAACAUAAUGACAAGAAAUGGGACUUGUUCUCUGAAUCUUGAGAGCCCCAGAGCCCCAUGUGUUACAUAUUUGGCUGAAGUGUGACUUCCUGGUAAUGGAGUCUGCAGGAGGUGAAGCUUUGUAAAGGGUGUUGCCUCUUUGCUUCUGACUUUACCUGGAUCUAUUUAAACAAAAUUUCAUUUAAGUCCUGCUAUAAUUUAAAAACUGGCAGUUCGAAACCUAUUGGAGUUCAAGCUUCAAGCUGAAGAUCACAAAAGCAAAGCAUCUGGUCACUAGAUCUUACUCUAUCUCAGACUGAAAGGGUUGAUCCUGUCUCCAUGAGCUCACAACAAACCUCAGACU
Cricetulus griseus (Chinese hamster) is the source of this 609-nucleotide non-coding RNA. The record is from RefSeq and is a predicted model, not a curated record. Lineage: Eukaryota; Metazoa; Chordata; Mammalia; Rodentia; Cricetidae.